This is a non-coding RNA of Dermacentor andersoni, 438 nucleotides long. Lineage: Eukaryota; Metazoa; Arthropoda; Arachnida; Ixodida; Ixodidae. The record is from RefSeq and is a predicted model, not a curated record.
GGUUGAGCAAGACUUCACGAAAGCGAAACUGGAACCAGCAAUGGAGAUGUUUAGGCCUUGUAGUUGCACAGCAGCAGUGCGUCGAAGAAAAUUCCUGCCGGAUGGAACGGCGACUUCGCUCCAGGCAGCGGGCGUGGUGACGGAACCGGAGUCCACGGCGGCCCCGCAAUGUGGCACUUCAGCUGUCCGUGGAUAGCAAGACACAUGUGCUACGCAUUGUAGAGUAGUGGCAGGAUUACGUGAUACUCGUACGUGGGAGGUGCUGACAAGAUCAAGCAACAGCGCACCCAAGCAAGCCCUGUCCUGCCCCCGAGGAGCACCAAUGUUCACGCAGGACUUACAACAGUUCGCGCCGUGACUUUCUAUAGAGCGGCCAUAACCGGCGGAAUUAUUCGGAAUGCACUCAUGGACAUUUAAUAAAGGAAUGAAACGAAGCUU